CUUAGAGUUUGAUCCUGGCUCAGAUUGAACGCUGGCGGCAGGCCUAACACAUGCAAGUCGAGCGGAUGAUGGGAGCUUGCUCCCGGAUUCAGCGGCGGACGGGUGAGUAAUGCCUAGGAAUCUGCCUGGUAGUGGGGGACAACGUUUCGAAAGGAACGCUAAUACCGCAUACGUCCUACGGGAGAAAGCAGGGGACCUUCGGGCCUUGCGCUAUCAGAUGAGCCUAGGUCGGAUUAGCUAGUUGGUGGGGUAAAGGCCUACCAAGGCGACGAUCCGUAACUGGUCUGAGAGGAUGAUCAGUCACACUGGGACUGAGACACGGUCCAGACUCCUACGGGAGGCAGCAGUGGGGAAUAUUGGACAAUGGGCGAAAGCCUGAUCCAGCCAUGCCGCGUGUGUGAAGAAGGUCUUCGGAUUGUAAAGCACUUUAAGUUGGGAGGAAGGGCAGUAAGUUAAUA
This 458-nucleotide ribosomal RNA is filed under the name uncultured bacterium. Its description in RNAcentral is "bacterial SSU rRNA". It matches the Rfam family "Bacterial small subunit ribosomal RNA", at positions 1 to 465 of the family's 1533-position model. The record is from RNAcentral.